CCUUGGCUGGCUUGGUCAGUAAAGCAUGUGACUCUUGAUCUCAGGGUUGUGAGUUCGAGUCCCAUGUUGGGUA
RNAcentral lists this transfer RNA (73 nucleotides) under Ailuropoda melanoleuca (giant panda). It matches the Rfam family "tRNA". From Rfam's summary of the family: Transfer RNA (tRNA) molecules are approximately 80 nucleotides in length. Their secondary structure includes four short double-helical elements and three loops (D, anti-codon, and T loops). Lineage: Eukaryota; Metazoa; Chordata; Mammalia; Carnivora; Ursidae. The record is from Rfam by way of RNAcentral.